RNAcentral lists this ribosomal RNA (3644 nucleotides) under Triticum aestivum (bread wheat). Its description in RNAcentral is "partial small subunit ribosomal RNA". The record is from RNAcentral. Lineage: Eukaryota; Viridiplantae; Streptophyta; Magnoliopsida; Poales; Poaceae.
GAAGUGAUCGAGGUGGUCGGUCGGGGGUCAUCCGAUGUGUUUGAAACGCUCGGGUGGGCGAGAUUUCGUCGGAGCGUUCUCCGGGUCUGUUCGGAACGGUGGGAGCGGCAGAGGGCGCUGGUGCGGUGGCGGCGACGGCGCGGCACCGUGUGGCCGUACCUAGGGUCCGGCGGGCGUAAGCUGGCAGCGGCGGGGGCAAAGUGUGUUAGCGGGCUGAAUGGCCGUAAGGUCGACACUUCGUCACUGCGACGCAGUUGGGCCGCUGGGGGAGCGGCUCAGCGGCAGUCGCUCCGACAACGCAGCUAGGCGGGCGCUAGGACGCAGGCAACUCCGCAGUACCGAGCGAAAAGGCACCUCCACCUGCGCGAACAGCGCGCGCGCUCCUCUUUUAUAGAGGCCGCCCGCCUUUAUAGACCGCGGUGACGACCGCAGCAAAAGGGUAGUAAAACCCGUGGGCGGUGCAGGCCAACGCCGAACAGCGAGAGGCGCCGCUCGACACCGGUGGGCACGGGGCAGGAGAGGAGUGGAGAAGCCGGCGGGGCCUAGGCGAUAUUCUUUAGAGUGAGAGGCGUGGUGACCGGUCCACGCGUGAGGGUAGGGUAGCGUAGGCGAGGGGGGGAGAGAGGGACAAUCGUUGAGGAGGCGGGCGGAGAGCGGCCUAGGCGGCAAAGAGUCCUUUACCGGCGCGACGUUGGCAGCAAGAGCAGUGAUUACAGAUACUUGUUAUCGACGUUGUGGUACUUCAAGGGGUUCUGACGUGAAAACGGACCAAAGCCACCGUAAAGCGCAGGAGUUCUACACGUCCUGUCCUCACGAUCGGAGUGGACAAGUUCCGGAUUCCGUCAAAGUCACUGACUGGUCAGUCAUCGUCUCGGUCGUUUUGGGUCCGUUUGGUUUGUGUGUCAACUAGGACGACGAGGUCUUAAAGACGGCGAGGGCCGUAAACUUCUAACGAAGGGUGCCUCGUGGUUUCUUACGUCACUUCAGCAAGUACUCCUUUGUCCGGUACGGGACUUCCAAGGUAAGGCCUCUCAGGUAAACUGGCCUCUAUCGCCCGUAAAGCUGUGUAUACUGUGGUCACCGGGUGUUUUGUAUUCGGGUUCCGAACCUGAGGGUUUCUAUUCUUUCCUUACCUAACUGUCCUCCCUCUUCAACCCAUCAGGAGCUAUGUGGGUUUACAUGAUACGAUUCGUCCCUCAGUAUUGUCUCCUCUACAACAUGACGCGGUUUGCACUCUUGGAACGAGGACUUAAACAGGCCAGUCUUCAGCGGGCACCCGCUCGGUAAUAGGGAAGGUUGUUCUCUGUGGACCUUAACCUUGGGUACUAACAACCUUCUUUGAAGGAACAUUUCCACUUACGUUUGUAACCCUUGAGUCGACAACACUCGAGGUAACUCCUCCUUCAGGUGUUCGAGGUCACCCGGUGUUACACCCCUCGUCUAUGACAGUACCUGGAAAGUUGUCCCGCGGUAUAGGUACUCUGGGCCCUUACCUAAUAAGCAUUGAGGAGGCAAGGAUAACCUUGACAAGGCUAAAUGGUUCGUGAACUCUUUCAAUUACCAUAACGACUUCUAGACUCGACCCUUCAGAAGUCCCUGUGAAAUUAACUUGUUCGGCUCGUCCCACAACUGAUAAAGUGGUAGGUACGACCACACGACGAAGCAAUAUAAGGAGAGUGUCGUUUCUCCUACUGGCCGUAUCAAAGUGCACCGCCUAGUUAGGUACGUUUUACCACGAACUGCAUAGUGUUCCUCUUGAAACGAAUACUCGUGACCCUACUGUAAGAACUGUAAACAUUGGUCAUACUACACCGUAAUAGAUAACCACUACCGGACUCCGGCCCAAGGUAAAUACUACGAUUACUAUCGCGAGUCAAACGUCUCGACGACUGAGUUCCCCUUGAUUGAGCGGCUCGUACCCUCUUCCUACACGUCCACUACUUACUUCCAGGACCCGUAUAAGGCUACGUAUUUUAAGGACUUUUAUACCUCUUUGUCGAGCUCACCACGUUGCUUCGUGGAAAGAUAUGCGACCCAGGUAACUGUUGACUAUAACGUGGACCAAUACUAGUGUAGUGGAGUCGGUAACCACGACGGUUGUAACCCCGAGAACCGUGGCGUGAAGAAACAAUACAUUGUGGUUUCCUCGUGGAACCCAACGGAUUGUCCCUACUACAAUUCUGUCCACACUAUAGGAUGUUUUAGCGACGAGUACGACGACUAAACCGUUUCGCAGUGGGGAUACGUGUUCGUACCCUACUACGUGAUUCGUUCCGUUCCAAACUCAAAUCUACCAACCUGGUUAAACGAAAUAGGGACCUAGGUCAAUGACGUUACAGAAAGGUACUACUUUGUAAUGGUAGACUACCACGAUUUCAUCGUGUAAAGACGAGAUACACACCAGGGUUCAAAACAAGCUACUUUUAGUGCCUCCUAUAAUCCUUUAUACGGCUACUUGUACCAAUGCCCUGUCAUCUCCUUCGACACUCCGUUCCUUACUCACUCUACUCACGACUUAAAAACCGUCGUUCUUUUUGUUAAUCACCGCUUGUUGUACCACUUCGACCUCCCCUUUAGAUACACGGUCUUUCGAUGCAUCAAGUCUUUAUUCUACAGGAACCGUCGGCAGACUAGGUUCACUACGUCUAAACCACCGAUCCAGCAAACAGUCGUCGUGAAGAUGGUAGAAGACAAUCCUCCACCAUUCGUCCUAUAUACGGAGUUAUUUCGAUGACGACGAAUCGCAGUCAAGAAUUACAGUAAUACCUAAUACCCAACAUUAUUUUCACUUGAGAUACAACACAAUGAAUACAAUAUUAACAGAAACGUAUAGUAAUACCCUAACGAUCACUACUUUCAACGUGGUCCCCACGAACAUAAGGGUUGCUAGAAUUCCGGGGAACCGGACCUAACAACGCUAUACCCGACUCUUUCAGGGAAACUUGGACUUGUCCUAUUACGGACGCUUCCCUCACACGUAAAGAUAAAAGUACAAAGGGUCCUAUGUGAGUUGGGAGCUGUAAGACCUUUAGCUCCCUGGUUCAAAAGGACUUACACACCUCGCGUGGACGACCUAUACGUACAAAGGAUGAGACUGCGUUGUACCAUUACAUGUGCUAAAGAAAUUGGUCGUAUGAAUAACCGUAAAGAGGUUCUCCUCUCCUAUAAAUGUCCGUAUCACAAUAGUACCUUGUGUAGUUUAAAUCAGUAGUACCUUGUGUAUUUUAAAUGGGUAGUGUUGAAAAAAAACUCCUUAGGGUAAUGUAGAACCUUUCGUAACUGUUACAGGACACAUUAAAUGAAAAAUGUGGAUAAGUACAUGUAUAAAGAUAUCAUCUUCAUAUUUUCUACGUUGAUCUGACUGUCUAACCUUACCAAUACAUGUACGGUGAACAGUCAACUCUUGUUUUAGUUGCCGUCUUGAGAAAGGCUGAACUAAUACACUUUACACAGAUGAUUCUUAAUAAAACAUCUCACUGACUCUAUGACGAAUAGCACUUGAUAAGGAAACCAACAAGGGUAACACUAACAGUUUGUAAAAGUUUAUGUAGUAUUUGAAAUUUGUAAGUACGUACGUAUUGACACAUAGAUGUAACAUUUUGAACCGUCGUGAAAUCACGACCUGACGACCCGGACGUAUCAAA